GAUGAAGAACGCAGCGAAAUGCGAUACGUAAUGUGAAUUGCAGAAUUCAGUGAAUCAUCAAGUCUUUGAACGCACAUUGCGCCCCCUGGUACUCCGGGGGGCAUGCCUGUCCGAGCGUCAUUGCUGCCCUCAAGCACGGCUUGUGUGUUGGGCCUCCGUCCUCCUCCCGGGGGACGGGCCCGAAAGGCAGCGGCGGCACCGCGUCCGGUCCUCGAGCGUAUGGGGCUUCGUCACCCGCUCUUGUAGGCCCGGCCGGCGCUUGCCGACACAUCAAUCUUUUUUCCAGGUUGACCUCGGAUCAGGUAGGGAUACCCGCUGAACUUAAGCAUAUCAAUAAGCGGAGGA
This 345-nucleotide unclassified non-coding RNA is filed under the name soil metagenome. RNAcentral describes it as "partial contains 5.8S ribosomal RNA, internal transcribed spacer 2, and large subunit ribosomal RNA". The stretch from base 1 to 120 matches the Rfam family "5.8S ribosomal RNA", at positions 35 to 154 of the family's 154-position model. The record is from RNAcentral.